RNAcentral lists this ribosomal RNA (253 nucleotides) under uncultured bacterium. RNAcentral's name for it is "partial 16S ribosomal RNA". It matches the Rfam family "Bacterial small subunit ribosomal RNA", at positions 524 to 776 of the family's 1533-position model. The record is from RNAcentral.
GACGUAGGGCGCGAGCGUUGUCCGGAUUUAUUGGGCGUAAAGAGCUCGUAGGCGGCUUGUCGCGUCGAAUGUGAAAACUCGGGGCUCAACUCCGAGCUUGCAUUCGAUACGGGCAGGCUAGGGUUCGGUAGGGGAGACUGGAAUUCCUGGUGUAGCGGUGAAAUGCGCAGAUAUCAGGAGGAACACCGAUGGCGAAGGCAGGUCUCUGGGCAUUAACUGACGCUGAGACGCGAAAGCGUGGGGAGCAAACAGG